Molecule: long non-coding RNA, 1668 nt
Organism: Homalodisca vitripennis (glassy-winged sharpshooter)
Lineage: Eukaryota; Metazoa; Arthropoda; Insecta; Hemiptera; Cicadellidae
Exons: 3
Source: RefSeq, a predicted model, not a curated record
UAAACUGAAAACUGGUUCUAUAUUACUUAGUGUUAUGGCUUGAUGAAACCCCAUCAGUAAUUUCCUGAUAUGUAUUUCUAAACAAUAUAGUUUACCAAGUGAUCUGAAUUAAAAAUACUGUCUAUGAACAAAAUGAAGGUUUUUAGGACAAUUUUGCUGGGGCUCCGCCACACUUGUACGGAGGCAGGUAGCGGGUCAUGAUGUGGCCCGGCCAAAUAUCUUUUCCGGGAUCUGCCAAAGCUGCGAAUGGAUUCAGGGCAUCAGGAUCAAGAGAAGAGAUAUCAUAGAGAGUGUUCUCAUAGAUUCCAACCUAAUGUGUGACAUGUAUGCAGUUUUUUCUCAGUCUUGUAUUUUAGUUAAGGACAUUGCCUUUUAUAUUUCAUAUUGACAAUAAUAAUUACUUAUCUUUGUGUUUACUUUUAUGAUGAGCCUACAAUUUGAAAUUAUGUUUGUAACAAUUUUACACAUGAUUGAAACAUUGAGCAAGUGCUAUCGCUGGGCUUGAACAUGUAAAAUUUGAUUUAAUUGACCUAAGAGAAUGUUAUUAGUUUAUAAUCAAAACAAAAGGAAAUAGUGAGUUAGGAUUUAAAUUUAUACUGCUAAGAAUUGGAAAAUCGUAUCAUCUAUACCAUUGUUUUUAAAUCACUGAUCAAAUGCAGAUUAUUUAAAUAACAAAAUGACUGUAAUAUUUACCCAUCCAAUACUUUGUCAGUUAUGAAUGUUUACCAGUACAUAGACAUCUUGAGAGUAUAUUGACGUAUCCUCUGGCCAUUUGAAAAAUACCAAACCUUCUCAGGAAUCUUUCAGUUAAAAAACAAUAUCAUAACUAACUCCAGGUCACACAAAAAUGUCUUAGGUUCUUCCCACCCUUUCUCCUUAAUAUGAAAUGAACAUUCAGGGUUGACAUGCAACAUGCAAUCCAGCUAAUGUCACUCAAACACUGAUUUUUGCAUGCUUAACAACCUACCUCCAUUUUUUCUCAUAUCGCUGUCUGUAUUAUGGACAAAUAAAAAGUUACUGAUGUUUACAAUUAUUAUUGAAAACUUUAACAUUUUAACUACAAGAUAACAAGAAUAUUAAGUUAUCUUUUGUAACUAAAUCAUUAGUGGGGCCGAUCAAGAAAUAUGAAAACAAUGAUUAUAAAACAAUUUUUAAUUUAUAGUGUUAUAUACUAUUUUAAUAUAAACACUGUUCUGUAUUUGUAUCAUAUGCACAUAUUAUGAAUAGAUAUGCAUUGAAUUGAAUUAAAACUUUAAAUUAUGGUGGUGAUGAAAAGCAGGGAAAUCAUUUAUCCUAUUAGGUAUGUUUAGCUCCAUUGACAGAGUGUUCAAAUUACAUAUCACUCUAUAGAAGUAUUUUUCUAUUCAUUUUAUUUUUUUAAUGUACUUCAUGAAAUAGUUUUAAUAAAAAAUUAAUGCUUUUCAUACGUUAUCUCUCAGCCAACAUAAAGUGAACUUUUUUAGCGUUUUAAUAUCCUACCUGAUAAGUCAACAGGACAUUAAAUACAAAGUACACUAUUUAAAAUGUGUGAAUACGGAUAUCACACAUAAGAUAAGUUGUGUAGGUCAUGUUGAAGGCCACACUGACCGUUUCCUUAAAGAUGAUAAUUUGAGAGUUUCCAUAGUUUAAUCUUUCAUUUACCUUUCUAAAUAUCAAAUAUGUACUGUA